AGAGUUUGAUCCUGGCUCAGAUUGAACGCUGGCGGCACGCUUAACACAUGCAAGUCGAGCGGUAACAUGACUAGUAGCAAUACUAGUUGAUGACGAGCGGCGGACGGGUGAGUAACACGUAGGAACUUGCCCAGUAGUGGGGGACAACCAAGGGAAACUUUGGCUAAUACCGCAUAUUCUCGAGAGAGGAAAGCUGCCGCAAGGUGGCGCUAUUGGAGAGGCCUGCGUCCGAUUAGCUAGUUGGUAGGGUAAAAGCCUACCAAGGCGAGGAUCGGUAACUGGUCUGAGAGGACGACCAGUCACACUGGGACUGAGACACGGCCCAGACUCCUACGGGAGGCAGCAGUGGGGAAUCUUGGACAAUGGGGGCAACCCUGAUCC
RNAcentral lists this ribosomal RNA (381 nucleotides) under uncultured bacterium. RNAcentral's name for it is "bacterial SSU rRNA". It matches the Rfam family "Bacterial small subunit ribosomal RNA", at positions 8 to 389 of the family's 1533-position model. The record is from RNAcentral.